GCAGUUAAAAAGCUCGUAGUCGAAAUAGGCCUUCAUUCCAUCCGGGCCCUGAUAAAGGCAUCAAUCCGGGUGGGUGGAUGGCUCCUUAAAGGCUUUCCUUCGCGUCGGGCUUAACUGCGCCGUGCUUUGGAUUGUCGCCAUUACUGUGAAAAAAUUAGAGUGUUCAAGGCAAGCUCACGGGCUUGAAUAGAUUAGCAUAGGAUAAUAGAUUGGUCAAAAAUUUACGUUAGUAGGUUUAAAAUCUUGACAACCGUUAAUAGGGACUAUCAGGGGCGCUCAUAUUUCAUUGUCAGAGGUGAAAUUCUUGGAUUUAUGAAAGAUGAACUAAUGCGAAAGCAUCCGCCAUGGGUACUCUCAUUGAUCAAGAACGAAAGUUAAGGGAUCGAAGACGAUCAGAUACCGUCGUAGUCUUAACUAUAAACGAUACCGGCCAACACUCGAAUGACGUUAAAUGGAUGACUCCUCCGGAAGUUUGUGAGAAAUCAUAAGUCUUCGGGUUCUGGGGGGAGUAUGGUCGCAAGGCUGAAACUUAAAGGAAUUGACGGAAGGGCACACCAGAAGUGGAGCCUGCGGCUUAAUUCGACUCAACA
RNAcentral lists this ribosomal RNA (590 nucleotides) under uncultured eukaryote. Its description in RNAcentral is "bacterial SSU rRNA". It matches the Rfam family "Eukaryotic small subunit ribosomal RNA", at positions 615 to 1205 of the family's 1831-position model. The record is from RNAcentral.